RNAcentral lists this long non-coding RNA (209 nucleotides) under Elaeis guineensis (African oil palm). RNAcentral's name for it is "long non-coding RNA (EGUI_LNC046974)". The record is from RNAcentral. Lineage: Eukaryota; Viridiplantae; Streptophyta; Magnoliopsida; Arecales; Arecaceae.
CAUCUAUUUAAAAUAAAUAUAAAAAUAAAUUUUUAUAUCUUAAUAAUAUUUAUAUUUAUAUUUAUUAUAAAAAAUAAUUAUAAAUAUAGAUAUAUUGAUAUCUGAUUCAAUUUUAACCCCAUUUCUCAUCAAAUGUGGCUUAACUCCUGUUCCAUUCAUUUAUUACGAAGGCCCACGCGCACCUAAGUACAUCUCCUCUGCCUGGUGGA